This 253-nucleotide ribosomal RNA is filed under the name uncultured bacterium. RNAcentral's name for it is "partial 16S ribosomal RNA". It matches the Rfam family "Bacterial small subunit ribosomal RNA", at positions 524 to 776 of the family's 1533-position model. The record is from RNAcentral.
UACGUAGGUGGCAAGCGUUGCCCGGAAUCAUUGGGCGUAAAGCGCGCGUAGGCGGCCCGAUAAGUCCGCUGUGAAAGUCCAGGGCUCAACCCUGGAAAGCCGGUGGAUACUGUCGGGCUAGAGUCCGGAAGAGGCGAGUGGAAUUCCAGGUGUAGCGGUGAAAUGCGUAGAUAUCUGGAGGAACACCGGUGGCGAAGGCGGCAUCCUGGACCGGUAUUGACACUGAGGCGCGAAAGCCAGGGGAGCAAACGGG